GGACCGUAACCCGCGAACGGGACGGGACGCCGUCGAAGGUAGGUUNAUGAUUGGGGUG
This 58-nucleotide ribosomal RNA is filed under the name uncultured bacterium. RNAcentral describes it as "partial 16S ribosomal RNA". The record is from RNAcentral.